CUCAGGGAGGUAGUGACAAGAAAUAACAACACUGGAAAUUUUAUUUCUAGUGAUUGGAAUGAUGGGAAUUUAAACCCCUUUCAGAGUAACAAUUGGAGGGCAAGUCUGGUGCCAGCAGCCGCGGUAAUUCCAGCUCCAAUAGCGUAUAUUAAAGUUGUUGCAGUUAAAAAGCUCGUAGUUGGAUGUCUGCUGGAAGCAAUCAGUCCGCCCUAUUUGUAGGGUGUGCACUUGAUGAAUUCUGGCAUUUUUGUCCCAAUGAUGUAGCGGGGCGGUGGUAUUCAGUGAAAGCUGAGUAUCCUGUUCCGAUUAUUGGGAUACUGUUACUUUGAGAAAAUUAGUGUGUUUGAAGCAGGCUAAUUGCCUUGAAUACUGCAGCAUGGAAUAACAAUAUAGGAUUUCGGUUCUAUUUUGUUGGUUUCUAGGACUGAAAUAAUGAUUAAUAGGGACAGUUGGGGGCAUUCGUAUUUAACUGUCAGAGGUGAAAUUCUUAGAUUUGUUAAAGACGAACUACUGCGAAAGCAUUUGCCAAAGAUGUUUUCAUUAAUCAAGAACGAAAGUUAGGGGCUCGAAGACGAUCAGAUACCGUCGUAGUCUUAACCAUAAACUAUGCCGACUAGAGAUAGGAAAAUGUCAUUUUGCUGACUU
RNAcentral lists this ribosomal RNA (645 nucleotides) under Sarcocystis sp. RNAcentral describes it as "SSU rRNA". It matches the Rfam family "Eukaryotic small subunit ribosomal RNA", at positions 455 to 1077 of the family's 1831-position model. Lineage: Eukaryota; Apicomplexa; Conoidasida; Eucoccidiorida; Sarcocystidae. The record is from RNAcentral.